Molecule: ribosomal RNA, 465 nt
Filed under: Vreelandella stevensii
Lineage: Bacteria; Pseudomonadati; Pseudomonadota; Gammaproteobacteria; Oceanospirillales; Halomonadaceae
Description: partial 16S ribosomal RNA
Rfam family: Bacterial small subunit ribosomal RNA
Source: RNAcentral
CCUACGGGCGGCAGCAGUGGGGAAUAUUGGACAAUGGGGGGAACCCUGAUCCAGUCAUGCCGCGUGUGUGAAGAAGGCCCUCGGGUUGUAAAGCACUUUCAGUGAGGAAGAACGCCUGGUGGUUAAUACCCAUCAGGAAAGACAUCACUCACAGAAGAAGCACCGGCUAACUCCGUGCCAGCAGCCGCGGUAAUACGGAGGGUGCGAGCGUUAAUCGGAAUUACUGGGCGUAAAGCGCGCGUAGGUGGCUUGAUAAGCCGGUUGUGAAAGCCCCGGGCUCAACCUGGGAACGGCAUCCGGAACUGUCAAGCUAGAGUGCAGGAGAGGAAGGUAGAAUUCCCGGUGUAGCGGUGAAAUGCGUAGAGAUCGGGAGGAAUACCAGUGGCGAAGGCGGCCUUCUGGACUGACACUGACACUGAGGUGCGAAAGCGUGGGUAGCAAACAGGAUUAGAUACCCUAGUAGUC